RNAcentral lists this ribosomal RNA (1087 nucleotides) under uncultured bacterium. RNAcentral's name for it is "bacterial SSU rRNA". It matches the Rfam family "Bacterial small subunit ribosomal RNA", at positions 65 to 1158 of the family's 1533-position model. The record is from RNAcentral.
CGCUGAAAGCCUGGUGCUUGCACCGGGUGGAUGAGUGGCGAACGGGUGAGUAACACGUGAGUAACCUGCCCCUGACUUCGGGAUAAGCCCGGGAAACUGGGUCUAAUACCGGAUACGACUGCCGGACGCAUGUCUGGUGGUGGAAAGUUUUUUCGGUUGGGGAUGGGCUCGCGGCCUAUCAGUUUGUUGGUGAGGUAAUGGCUCACCAAGACGACGACGGGUAGCCGGCCUGAGAGGGCGACCGGCCACACUGGGACUGAGACACGGCCCAGACUCCUACGGGAGGCAGCAGUGGGGAAUAUUGCACAAUGGGGGAAACCCUGAUGCAGCGACGCAGCGUGCGGGAUGACGGCCUUCGGGUUGUAAACCGCUUUCAGCAGGGAAGAAGCGCAAGUGACGGUACCUGCAGAAGAAGUACCGGCUAACUACGUGCCAGCAGCCGCGGUAAUACGUAGGGUACGAGCGUUGUCCGGAAUUAUUGGGCGUAAAGAGCUCGUAGGUGGUUGGUCACGUCUGCUGUGGAAACGCAACGCUUAACGUUGCGCGUGCAGUGGGUACGGGCUGACUAGAGUGCAGUAGGGGAGUCUGGAAUUCCUGGUGUAGCGGUGAAAUGCGCAGAUAUCAGGAGGAACACCGGUGGCGAAGGCGGGACUCUGGGCUGUAACUGACACUGAGGAGCGAAAGCAUGGGGAGCGAACAGGAUUAGAUACCCUGGUAGUCCAUGCCGUAAACGUUGGGCACUAGGUGUGGGGGGCAUUCCACGUUCUCCGCGCCGUAGCUAACGCAUUAAGUGCCCCGCCUGGGGAGUACGGUCGCAAGGCUAAAACUCAAAGGAAUUGACGGGGGCCCGCACAAGCGGCGGAGCAUGCGGAUUAAUUCGAUGCAACGCGAAGAACCUUACCAAGGCUUGACAUACACCGGACCGUCCUGGAAACAGGUCCUCUUCUUUGAAGCUGGUGUACAGGUGGUGCAUGGUUGUCGUCAGCUCGUGUCGUGAGAUGUUUGGGUUAAGUCCCGCAACGAGCGCAACCCUCGUUCUAUGUUGCCAGCAUGGGGAUGGUGGGAACUCAUAGGAGACUGCCGGGUC